This 645-nucleotide ribosomal RNA is filed under the name uncultured bacterium. RNAcentral's name for it is "bacterial SSU rRNA". It matches the Rfam family "Bacterial small subunit ribosomal RNA", at positions 231 to 885 of the family's 1533-position model. The record is from RNAcentral.
UCGCGGCCUAUCAGCUUGUUGGUUGGGGUAAUGGCCCGCCAAGGCGACGACGGGUAGCCGGCCUGAGAGGGUGACCGGCCACACUGGGACUGAGACACGGCCCAGACUCCUACGGGAGGCAGCAGUGGGGAAUAUUGCACAAUGGGCGGAAGCCUGAUGCAGCGACGCCGCGUGAGGGAUAACGGCCUUCGGGUUGUAAACCUCUUUCAGCAGGGAAGAAGCGAAAGUGACGGUACCUGCAGAAGAAGCGCCGGCUAACUACGUGCCAACAGCCGCGGUAAUACGUAGGGCGCAAGCGUUAUCCGGAAUUAUUGGGCGUAAAGAGCUCGUAGGCGGUUUGUCGCGUCUGCUGUGAAAGCCCGGGGCUCAACCCCGGGUCUGCAGUGGGUACGGGCAGACUAGAGUGAUGUAGGGGAGACUGGAAUUCCUGGUGUAGCGGUGAAAUGCGCAGAUAUCAGGAGGAACACCGAUGGCGAAGGCAGGUCUCUGGGCAUUAACUGACGCUGAGGAGCGAAAGCAUGGGGAGCGAACAGGAUUAGAUACCCUGGUAGUCCAUGCCGUAAACGUUGGGCACUAGGUGUGGGGGACAUUCCACGUUUUCCGCGCCGUAGCUAACGCAUUAAGUGCCCCGCCUGGGGAGUACGG